Molecule: ribosomal RNA, 400 nt
Filed under: uncultured bacterium
Lineage: Bacteria
Description: bacterial SSU rRNA
Rfam family: Bacterial small subunit ribosomal RNA
Source: RNAcentral
AAUCAACGCUGGCGGCGUGCCUAACACAUGCAAGUCGAGCGCGAAAGGGGAGCAAUCCCCGAGUAGAGCGGCGAACGGGUGAGUAACGCGUGGGUAAUCUACCUCCGAGUGGGGAAUAACAGCGGGAAACUGCUGCUAAUACCGCACGACAUCGUCGGGCCUCAGGCCUGACGAUCAAAGCCGGGGACCGCAAGGCCUGGCGCUUGGAGAGGAGCCCGCGUCCGAUUAGCAGUUGGCGGGGUAACGGCCCACCAAGGCUUCGAUCGGUAGCCGGCCUGAGAGGGCGGACGGCCACACUGGGACUGAGACACGGCCCAGACUCCUACGGGAGGCAGCAGUGGGGAAUUUUUCGCAAUGGGGGAAACCCUGACGAAGCAACGCCGCGUGGAGGAUGAAGGCC